UCAUCCUACGGGACGCAGCAGUAGGGCAUCUUCGGCAAUGGGGGCAACCCUGACCGAGCAACGCCGCGUGAGUGAAGAAGGUUUUCGGAUCGUAAAGCUCUGUUGUAAGUCAAGAACGGGUGUGAGAGCGGAAAGUUCACACUGUGACGGUAGCUUACCAGAAAGGGACGGCUAACUACGUGCCAGCAGCCGCGGUAAUACGUAGGUCCCGAGCGUUGUCCGGAUUUAUUGGGCGUAAAGCGAGCGCAGGCGGUUUGAUAAGUC
Molecule: ribosomal RNA, 264 nt
Filed under: uncultured bacterium
Lineage: Bacteria
Description: partial 16S ribosomal RNA
Rfam family: Bacterial small subunit ribosomal RNA
Source: RNAcentral